Non-coding RNA from Pelobates cultripes (western spadefoot toad), 212 nucleotides. The record is from the annotation of a GenBank genome assembly. Lineage: Eukaryota; Metazoa; Chordata; Amphibia; Anura; Pelobatidae.
CCUUUCUCCAGCACUGGGCUCCCUCUGCGCUGGUGACCUCUCAUCCCCCUGCCGACGUCGGCUCCGCAUGCGCGACAAGAGCCGCACACACAUUCAAACCGCCCAUAGAAAAGCAUUACUCAUGGACGUCCAGCCUCUUCUUACUGUGAUUUUCACAGUGAGAAUCGCGGAAGCGCCUCUGGUGUCUGUCAGGGAGACAGCCAGUAGAGGCU